This 465-nucleotide ribosomal RNA is filed under the name uncultured bacterium. Its description in RNAcentral is "partial 16S ribosomal RNA". It matches the Rfam family "Bacterial small subunit ribosomal RNA", at positions 28 to 507 of the family's 1533-position model. The record is from RNAcentral.
GACGAACGCUGGCGGCGUGCUUAACACAUGCAAGUCGAACGGAAAGGCCCUGCUUUCAGUGUAUUCGCGUGGCGAACGGGUGAGUAACACGCGCGUGAUCUGCCCUGCACUUCGGGAUAAACCUGGGCAACUAGGUCUAAUACCUGCUAGGUGCCAUUUUUAGCGUGAUGGUUGGAAAGUUUUUUGCGUUUUGGCUGAGCUCGCGACCUAUCUGCUUGUUGCUGGGGUAAUGGCCUACCAAGGCGGCGGCGGGUAGCCGGCCUGAGAGGGUGGGCGGCCACAGAGAGACUGAGAGAAGGCCCAGGCAGCGACGGGAGGGAGAAGGGGGAAAGAUUGAACGAGCAGCGCAGGGCUAAUGCAGAGGGGCCGCGGAGGGGAUGACGGCGUUCGGAGUGAAAAAUCAAUUCGCUAGGGACGAAGCAUUUUGUGACGGUACCUAGUUAGGAAGCAACGGCUAACUACGUG